Molecule: long non-coding RNA, 136 nt
Organism: Cebus imitator (Panamanian white-faced capuchin)
Lineage: Eukaryota; Metazoa; Chordata; Mammalia; Primates; Cebidae
Exons: 4
Source: RefSeq, a predicted model, not a curated record
AUACCUAAAUAAGACGAGAAGACCCUAUGGAGCUUCAAUUUAAUAAUACAAACUAAUAUCUUAAAAACCCACAGGCACUAACCCACUGUCUAUGUAUUAUAAAUUUUGAAAUGGGAAGAGCAUCGUGAAGGGAAAG